UAACACGAAGGGAACCUGCCCGCGCACCGGGAAUACGCUCUGGAAACNGAGAACAAAUCCCGAUGUACAGGAAGGAGGCAUCUUCUUUCUGUGAAACAUCCUUUCGGGGAUGGGGCGCGGAUGGACCUGCGGUGCAUUAGUUGGUUGGCGGGGUAAAGGCCACCAAGACGAUGAUGCAUAGCCGGCCUGAGAGGGCGGACGGCCACAUUGGGACUGAGACACGGCCCAGACUCCUGCGGGAGGCAGCAGUAGGGAAUUUUCGUCAAUGGGCGCAAGCCUGAACGAGCGAUGCCGCGUGAGUGAAGAAGGCCUUCGGGUCGUAAAGCUCUGUUGCGGGGGAAAAAAGGCAGCAUCAGGAAAUGGGUGCUGACUGAUGGUGCCCCGCCAGAAAGUCACGGCUAACUACGUGCCAGCAGCCGCGGUAAUACGUAGGUGGCGAGCGUUAUCCGGAAUGAUUGGGCGUAAAGGGUGCGCAGGCGGUCCUGCAAGUCUGGAGUGAAACGCAUGAGCUCAACUCAUGCAUGGCUUUGGAAACUGGAGGACUGGAGAGCAGGAGAGGGCGGUGGAACUCCAUGUGUAGCGGUAAAAUGCGUAGAUAUAUGGAAGAACACCAGUGGCGAAGGCGGCCGCCUGGCCUGUUGCUGACGCUGAGGCACGAAAGCGUGGGGAGCAAAUAGGAUUAGAUACCCUAGUAGUCCACGCCGUAAACGAUGAGGACCAAGUGU
RNAcentral lists this ribosomal RNA (725 nucleotides) under uncultured bacterium. Its description in RNAcentral is "bacterial SSU rRNA". It matches the Rfam family "Bacterial small subunit ribosomal RNA", at positions 111 to 823 of the family's 1533-position model. The record is from RNAcentral.